RNAcentral lists this non-coding RNA (26 nucleotides) under Homo sapiens (human). The record is from RNAcentral. Lineage: Eukaryota; Metazoa; Chordata; Mammalia; Primates; Hominidae.
CAGAUGGUAUGAAUGGAAUGUCCCUA